UACGUAGGUGGCAAGCGUUGUCCGGAUUUACUGGGCGUAAAGAGCGCGCAGGCGGUCGUUCAAGUCGCGUGUGAAAGCCCCCGGCUCAACUGGGGAGGGUCACGCGAUACUGAUCGACUCGAAGGCAGGAGAGGGUAGUGGAAUUCCCGGUGUAGUGGUGAAAUGCGUAGAUAUCGAGAGGAACACCUGCGGCGAAGGCGGGUCUCUGGGCCGAUACUGACGCUGAGGAGCGAAAGCGUGGGGAGCGAACAGG
RNAcentral lists this ribosomal RNA (253 nucleotides) under uncultured bacterium. Its description in RNAcentral is "partial 16S ribosomal RNA". It matches the Rfam family "Bacterial small subunit ribosomal RNA", at positions 524 to 776 of the family's 1533-position model. The record is from RNAcentral.